Molecule: long non-coding RNA, 1199 nt
Organism: Acyrthosiphon pisum (pea aphid)
Lineage: Eukaryota; Metazoa; Arthropoda; Insecta; Hemiptera; Aphididae
Exons: 3
Source: RefSeq, a predicted model, not a curated record
GUGCACUCUAACCUCCUUUCCGGUCGUCUCUCUUGAGGUUUCGAAGUAAAUCCUUGUAAUUUACAUUAAACACAUUAUCAGUUUUAUGGCGUUUGUUGUAUGAAACUCGUUGCCGUUCUUGAGCUUUUUCAAUGUUUGUGUGGACUUUAUCUUCCAUUAUACUUCUCAGACUUAACAUUUUUCCAAAUGUUUUAUUGAAAGCAACUUUAUCAAAUACGUCAUCAUCGGAUACAAUACCAAGAUCCUCAGAUAUUAUCGUGCCCCCAUAGCCACAUCGGUUGAUUUUAAAUUACAUAUACCAACAGGCAAUAUGGGUUCUCUUUGAUAUAAAACUUGGAAAGGAGAAAAAAUUGUCGAAGUAUGUUGAGUUGUACGAUGUGCAAAUAGUACACCUUGCAAAAUAUAAGGGCACUUAUUACUAUUAUUUUGCAGAACUUUGAGGAAGCAGUUUUUUAUAGUUCUGUUCUGGCGUUCACUAAAUCAUUCACUUGAGGAUGAUACGCCGAAGUCAUUCUUUGCUUGGUACCAGUUAAGCGAAAUAAUUCUGAUAUGAGUUUGUUCAGAAAUUCUCUUGAUCAGUAAUAUGAAUUAAAGGACAGCCAUGUUUGCAGAUUAUAUCAUCAUAUAGGAAGCAGGAAACUGAUUCUGCACUUUUAUUGGGAAGUUCUCUUGCUUCAGACCACUUUGAAAAUUGUCUAUUGCUACUACAACAUAUUUCAUGUCAUCGACUACUGGAAGUGUCAUAAUAUCAACACCAAUUUGUUUGAACACUUGCUUAGGCAUCACACUGCUUGAUGUAUUAUCUUACAUCGUUCAACAUUAAAGGCCAAAAGUAUCGCUUUUUCAAAAGAUUUUAUGUGGCGUCGCGACCAUGGUGUGAAGACAAAGCCGAUGCUUCCAAAGAACUAUCAGCACCAUCAUGAACCAAUUUAAUAAUUUGUGUUCGUUCUUCUGGCGUAAUUAUCACUUUGGCCAUAGUCUUUUUGUAGUACAGAACUCCAUCUUUUACUAUGAAUGGUCGACAACAUCUCCUGAAGUUUGCUCGGCUACCUUUAUCAGUUGUUGGGGUGCAUCAGCCUCAACUGCAGCUGCCAAACACUUAUCCCAUGGUCGAAACAACAUAUAUUACCUAUUGGGCAAUUCACAUUAAUAAUAAAUGUUACUAUACACACAUACCUAUCUGAUUUGUAUAUUUUUUU